AUGGGACCCAGAAGAAACAGAGCCUGGAUGUCAUUGAGAGGAAAGCCAGGCAUGAAACAGCAAUAGAAAGAGACAGACUUAAAAUGGUACAGCAGUGCUGUGGCAUCUGUCAAGUGACAAGGGCACCAAGAAUGGAGGGAGGCAGGAGGUAGAACAUCUCAAGAUGGCCUCCAUCAUGCAGAAGUUUGUCAUCUGUAGAAAGGACAGUGCAACUAAAAGGAGUCAGAGUCGCAGCUCCUCCCCUUUGACCUCCCAAAGUAAACAACCAAUCUUGAAGGCAACAGUUAACACACACAGCUAAAAGAAUGGUUCACUUACCAUCAAA
Mesocricetus auratus (golden hamster) is the source of this 325-nucleotide long non-coding RNA. RefSeq lists it as uncharacterized. Lineage: Eukaryota; Metazoa; Chordata; Mammalia; Rodentia; Cricetidae. The record is from RefSeq and is a predicted model, not a curated record. The transcript has 3 exons.